GACUACCGGGGUAUCUAAUCCUGUUUGCUCCCCACGCUUUCGUGCAUGAGCGUCAGUGCAGGCCCAGGGGAUUGCCUUCGCCAUCGGUGUUCCUCCGCAUAUCUACGCAUUUCACUGCUACACGCGGAAUUCCAUCCCCCUCUGCCGCACUCAAGCUAUGCAGUCACAAAUGCAGUUCCCAGGUUGAGCCCGGGGAUUUCACAUCUGUCUUGCAUAACCGCCUGCGCACGCUUUACGCCCAGUAAUUCCGAUUAACGCUCGCACCCUACGUAUUACCGCGGCUGCUGGCACGUAGUUAGCCGGUGCUUAUUCUUCAGGUACCGUCAUCCUCCCGAGGUAUUAACCCAGAAGAUUUCUUCCCUGACAAAAGCGGUUUACAACCCGAAGGCCUUCUUCCCGCACGCGGCAUUGCUGGAUCAGACUUGCGUCCAUUGUCCAAAAUUCCCCACUGCAGCCCCCCGUAGG
Molecule: ribosomal RNA, 465 nt
Filed under: uncultured Burkholderiales bacterium
Lineage: Bacteria; Pseudomonadati; Pseudomonadota; Betaproteobacteria; Burkholderiales
Description: partial 16S ribosomal RNA
Source: RNAcentral